Molecule: non-coding RNA, 247 nt
Organism: Cinara cedri
Lineage: Eukaryota; Metazoa; Arthropoda; Insecta; Hemiptera; Aphididae
Source: the annotation of a GenBank genome assembly
AAUUGUACAUUGUGCAAAAUUCCAAAUACUCCAAACCGUAUACAGGUCUGUUUAUAUAUAGGUAUAUGGAUACGUACAAUGUAGCUCCUUUUUGUGAAAGCCCAUUAUUAUUGUUUCUUUAUAAUAUACGCGGGAAAAAGAAAACUCUUCGCUGCAUUGUCACGGAAAUUGUCACGUACAAAUUUAACGCGUAAAAUAUAUAUAGGCACACGGUUUUUCAUUUUGUAUGAUAAUAAGAAUGCAAAUU